Molecule: small nuclear RNA, 157 nt
Organism: Zingiber officinale
Lineage: Eukaryota; Viridiplantae; Streptophyta; Magnoliopsida; Zingiberales; Zingiberaceae
Product: U12 minor spliceosomal RNA
Exons: 1
Source: RefSeq, a predicted model, not a curated record
CUGCCUUAAACUAAUGAGUAAGGAAAACAAAGCGGGUGGUGGGAGCUGCCCGCCGCGCUCAUAACAUUGCUAUGCGCAUGAAUUUAUGGAGGGGUGAUAGGCUGGCCGAGUGUUGACGCUGCUUACUUUGCAGAACUCACCCGUGCGGGCCUCCCGC